UGCAAGUGUCUUUUUUAAUCAAGCAAAUACCUAGAGCUAACCUAUUCAUAUAGUUGAAACAUAGGGGAUCUGGACACAUUUGGACAGGAUGCUAAUCUUAGCCCACUUGUCAUUGCUGCUUCUUUUGGGAAGCCAAGAUUCAGUAACCUGUACCGACCUGCAGAAACAGCAUGAAGUCAUCCAUGCAGCAGUUGGAGAACCUUUAGUGUUGAACUGCACCUACAACUGCUCCUCUGGAUUUGUCCGUGGACACUGGCUCAAACUCCCAGACUGUCUUCGUUGUCCUAGGCCAAGGGAAACAAAAAAUGUCACAAAGAAUGGUGACCUCUGCACUCUACCAUUGUAUUUUCCACAUCUGUCCAGGGAAGAUUUUCAGUACAACUAUACCUGCUUUUCUGAAGAUCAUGAAAGCGAACAGUUCCCACGCAAGAUAGAGUGUCUGGUAUCACUGCAAGCACAAGAUGAAUCGGUGACAGCGUUGGGUAACCAUGAGGACUCCAUAAUAGAUCAUGAGAAAUUCACAGGCGUCAAGGUGUUGGCAACAGUGACAGUUAUUGUGGCUGCGGUGUUGGCAGCCGUGUCUGUCUCCUUAUGUAUGAGCCGCAAUCGAUAUUGCAAAGGUGCUUAUAGAUGUUGUAAAAACAAUUAUGAAGGCCCAAUUUCUGAAUCAAAAAUGUUAUAAAAUACUUUCCAAAGUUGUUAUUAACAAAAAUCGACAGUAUGUUUCAUUAAUGUGAUUUCUUGUGUAUUUUAGGAAAACCUGCUGUUAUCUGCACAGGGUAUGUUUUUUUCAUACAAUGUGGUAUGUUUGCUAAGGCAUUUUAACACACUUUUCAUUGGCAAUUAGUAUGCAGACUCCUUAUGUGGAAUUUGUUUAUUGGUCUU
Salmo salar (Atlantic salmon) is the source of this 885-nucleotide non-coding RNA. NCBI's taxonomy places the organism in Eukaryota, Metazoa, Chordata, Actinopteri, Salmoniformes, Salmonidae. The record is from RefSeq and is a predicted model, not a curated record.